Molecule: long non-coding RNA, 1720 nt
Organism: Monomorium pharaonis (pharaoh ant)
Lineage: Eukaryota; Metazoa; Arthropoda; Insecta; Hymenoptera; Formicidae
Exons: 2
Source: RefSeq, a predicted model, not a curated record
CGAUGAAUUUCGAGUACAUUUCCGAGAACGUCUCUUCUCGCCUCGCGCCCGAUUUCCUGCCAUUUGCAUUCAAUGUUAACGCGGCCGUACAACGAGACUGGCCCACGUGCGCUCGCAUUCGCCAGGCACAGGUAAGUGCAUAAGACGCGCCACCUCCGUCGAAGAUGAUUAAUUGCUUUAGCGCCACUAAUGUAAGUAAACUAAUAUAAGUCAAUCCUUUGAUUUGAUAAGCCUCAGCUAUAUAUAUUUUUUGCAAGUGUGAAAAGCUUUUUUGGAAAGGGGAAAAACGGGAUACGCGCGCGCGCGACAGUGUUUUUUUUGGGGGGGGGGGAGCAUCAUCUUUGACCCGUGAUUUAUGGUGAGAAACGAUCGUCGCUCCUUUCCCACCCUCAAUUCACUAUUGUUACGUCUCGACAGUAUUUUUUGGUUGACACCCUAAGUGGUAUGCCCGCGCAUAAUACACGUCAGGCUCUCUCGUAAGGAUCCCGACGGCAGGAGAGGAGCUCGAUGAUAGCGUCGGACAUCGUUUCCCAUCGAAGCGGAAUCGAUUCUCGAGCUCGACAAAACCAAAAAAAAAAAUGAAAUACUUGUUGAGGAUAAUGUUAUCUCGUUCGUGAAACACAUGCGAUACACUAAAAAACGAGUUACCCCACGGAUAAAAAACAACAGCUGUCGUGAAAAAUGGUAUGAUAACGACGAUAACCAUAGCCCGCGGCAGAAACACAUAAAAUUUUUGCAAACUGUCGUGCAUCUACGUAGCGAAUCAGAUUUGUUUUAAUGAUACAACAAAAAUUCAAUUGUAUCUCGAAUAUUAAUGCCAUCGCGAUAGUUCAACUGGAGAGGAUAGAACGCCCGUAUCGAAAACAAAAUCGUGCAAUAUAUUAGUUCGCAGCAUCGACGUGCCAUCUGUAAUUUCGAAAUGUAUUUGCGAUGAUGUCUAACUUAAUCUCUUUUAACGAGGUUGCUACGUGGGAGAGGAAGAGAGAGAGAGAGAGGGAGAUCUCGUUGCAAUAUUUAUCGGCGCUCCGUCAUCGAGAUGCAGAUUAUAUCGCGUUAUCGUUCUCGCGCCGACAUAUAAAUUUCGCCGUCGAGGCAUCGAAAAAGGUGCACGUCUAUCAAAAUGCAAAUUACGACGGGCCCGCCACCGGAAAGAUCGUUUUUCCGACUUCUCGUCGCGAAUUAUCCGUUCGAUUCCCGGCGGACGGACGCGCGCGUCAGUGACGAUCGGUCACGAUCGCGUUGACAUAGCGCGCAAUGACUUUUUCUCCCCCUUUUAGAAAAGCCAUUCGUAUCGGCGUACGGUUUUACGGCUCUAUGGUUCUAUCAUCUGAAUUCCGCCAGCAGCGAUCUGUUCCGCCGUUCUCCUCUCCCGCCCUCUGUCUCCCUCGCUCGCUCUCUCGCGCCCCAUCCACCUGCCUCCGUCUCCCUCCCAUUCUCCCUCUCACGUCCCUCCUCGCCCUCGUGGCUGUCGCACGAGACACUACGUAACUAUUGUCCCAUGAAAUUGGACGUCAUUCAUGUACCGGAUGUCCAUGACUCUUUCACGGCGCGCACCGCAUCGAACGCCAUAACGAUCGAGCACGCGAACCAACUACCAGCGGACACCGCUCCUGUGUGAAAGACCUAAUUUCUGAUAUUCCGGAUACAAACGCGCGUAAUCGGAUCCUAUUCACAUCUCAAAAUCGCGAAACCAUGGUGCUACAAUCCAAAAUUAAAUGAA